GACGAACGCUGGCGGCGUGCUUAACACAUGCAAGUCGAACGGAAAGGCCCUGCUUUUGUGGUAUGCUCGAGUGGCGAACGGGUGAGUAACACGUGAGUAACCUGCCCUUGACUUUGGGAUAACUUCAGGAAACUGGGGCUAAUACCGGAUAGGAGCUCCUGCGGCAUGGUGGGGGUUGGAAAGUUUCGGCGGUUGGGGAUGGACUCGCGGCUUAUCAGAUUGUUGGUGGGGUAGUGGCUUACCAAGGCGUUGACGUGUAGCCGGCCUGAGAGGGUGACCGGCAAGAUUGGGACUGAGAUAAGGCCCAGACUCAUACGGGGGGCAGCAGUGGGGAAUAUUGCACAAUGGGCGGAAGCGCGAUGCAGCAACGCCGCGUGCGGGAUGACGGCCUGCGGGUUGUAAUCCGCGUUCGCCUGUGACGAAGCGUGAGUGAAGAUAAUGGGUAAAGAAGCACCGGCUAACUACGUG
Molecule: ribosomal RNA, 468 nt
Filed under: uncultured bacterium
Lineage: Bacteria
Description: partial 16S ribosomal RNA
Rfam family: Bacterial small subunit ribosomal RNA
Source: RNAcentral